RNAcentral lists this ribosomal RNA (476 nucleotides) under uncultured organism. Its description in RNAcentral is "partial 16S ribosomal RNA". It matches the Rfam family "Bacterial small subunit ribosomal RNA", at positions 334 to 801 of the family's 1533-position model. The record is from RNAcentral.
CACUCCUACGGGAGGCAGCAGUGGGGAAUUUUGGACAGUGGGCGAAAGCCUGAUCCAGCCAUGCCGCGUGCAGGAUGAAGGCCUUCGGGUUGUAAACUGCUUUUGUACGGAACGAAACGGCCUUUUCUAAUAAAGAGGGCUAAUGACGGUACCGUAAGAAUAAGCACCGGCUAACUACGUGCCAGCAGCCGCGGUAAUACGUAGGGUGCAAGCGUUAAUCGGAAUUACUGGGCGUAAAGCGUGCGCAGGCGGUUAUGUAAGACAGUUGUGAAAUCCCCGGGCUCAACCUGGGAACUGCAUCUGUGACUGCAUAGCUAGAGUACGGUAGAGGGGGAUGGAAUUCCGCGUGUAGCAGUGAAAUGCGUAGAUAUGCGGAGGAACACCGAUGGCGAAGGCAAUCCCCUGGACCUGUACUGACGCUCAUGCACGAAAGCGUGGGGAGCAAACAGGAUUAGAUACCCUAGUAGUCCCAUGAU